UAAACCCAACAAUACUCUUUAAAGAAUAAAAAACACCCAUUAUUUUUCCAUAUAUGAAACUGUCAAAAUAAUGAGCAUUAUUCUUUUUUCGAAAAUGUGUUAUUUAUGCCCAUUUUGAAGUUCCAAGCUUUUACUCAUUAAUGAGUGAAAAACAAGUUGAAAUUAAUUUAUAAACAAGCAACCGGAGAUGCUGAUGGCGAAUGAGCCCGAACAAUCAGCAAACAUCAGCCGCAAACAAAGUUGACCCCAGCAAACCUUCGAUUUUAGAAUAUAUUUCUUAGGCAGCUGGUGGUGGUGGUUAGGAAGCCGAAAAACGAUCAUCACCAAUAGAGAAAGCCUUUGUUUCCAGCAUUGGUCCCGGAGAAAGCUGCUGAUAAUAUCCCGGGUAUCGAGAAGCCGGAACGGUUGAUAAUAAUAAUGCCGAUUCCGGCAUUUACUCCUGAUGCAGCUGCUAGUGGUACUCCGCAAUUCUGUUCAGAAAUACCGCUAUAAAUUGAAGACUCAUUUGAAGCUGCUUUGGUCCGAUUUCGCUGGAGACAAGAGUUCUCAGGAUGUGGUUGAGAACCAGUUAUUUUCGUCGACGGAACCAGUUGGAUCAUAUAUAUUCGUAGUUCCACCGAAAGAGUACACACAAAAAACAAACAUGGUUUCAUAGAAUGUUUUGCACUCCCGCAUAAUAAAAAACAACAUGUUAUAUGGUCGGAAUCAUUAUUACGAUGUAAGAUAUAGCUUCACAGUUUACGUUGCGGUUAUCGAAUACUUUUCAAUCGAUUCAACCAUAACUGCUCGACAACAUCACUAAAUGUCAACAUAUAACAUGCUGUCUCUAAAAUGUUCUUUAUUUCCUGCAUUAUAUGUCAACAUUUUAUCAUACUGUUGAGCGAAAAUUUUGCACGCGAAAACAGACGAUUUUUUAUGGUGACAUAACUUAACAACCCAUUCAACAUAGUGUUAUUUGUCAAAUAACCGUACCACAAACUGUUAAAACUUUAUAUGAGAUUGUUCAUUUACAGUUGUCAACAGUAAAGGAUACUGUUGUCGACCGCACGGGAAAAUAUCCAUGUACAGUUUGUAUUUAUGCGGGCUUUCUCCUUGAAAAGUGCUUAAUUUUCUUAAAAUUAAAAAUGAAAUUAGCUUCAUUGAAAAUAUCUUUUUUAUUUGAAAGUUAUUUUUCUUCUGUUCCUAACGAUAAAUUAAAAGUUGUCUCAUUCAAUCUAAAAGUUGUUUUACUUUCAAAACAUCGAACGAUAUAUGUAUAUACACAGUGUAUACACUGCAUGGGUGAAAAAGAGAAAAGAACACAUUAUGUCAUGUAUCUUAUCCAUCUUUUUCUUUUCCUCUCAGUGUAUGACAAAAAUUUGAACCGCGAUAAAAACAAAGCAGCAGCGACGACGAGCAGAGGAAGCUAGCCACCACUGGCACUGCUCCCGAUUUAUAAUUGCAACUGCUAUUGUGUGGUGGCGAAUUAAGUUUUUACUACUAUUGUGCGCUGGUGGAGCUCAUAUUUAUUACGGAAUCAAAAGAUUCGGUCCGGCAGUUUUGACAGGAAGAAAAUCUGACACGUUCAAAAAUGCAUCUUCAAGAGUGGCUGGGGUCGAUGGAUUAUGUUGAAGCCUCGUCGGUAGUUUUGGAAACUACUACAGCUGCUAGUCGGGCUGAACGAUGAAUGUCAUGAGAUUUUGAGGACACCUGUCACAUGUGCGUUAUUUAAUCAUCCCAGAAAAAUAAAUAUUGGGUUUAAAAUAAAUUGAAAAUGAAAUAAAAAUGAAAAUCGA
This is a long non-coding RNA of Armigeres subalbatus, 1775 nucleotides long. RefSeq lists it as uncharacterized. The record is from RefSeq and is a predicted model, not a curated record. NCBI's taxonomy places the organism in Eukaryota, Metazoa, Arthropoda, Insecta, Diptera, Culicidae. The transcript has 3 exons.